GAUACGACCGUACCGCAAACCGACACUGGUGCGCGAGAUGAGUAUUCUAAGGCGCUUGAGAGAACUCAGGAGAAGGAACUCGGCAAAUUGACACCGUAACUUCGGAAGAAGGUGUGCCCUAUUAGUGUGUAGUGAACAACGAAGCAUGAAUGGGUUGCAAAAAAUCGGUGGCUGCGACUGUUUAUUAAAAACACAGCACUCUGCAAACACGAAAGUGGACGUAUAGGGUGUGACGCCUGCCCGGUGCUGGAAGAUUAAAUGAUGGGGUGCAAGCUCUUGAUUGAAGUCCCAGUAAACGGCGGCCGUAACGAUAACGGUCCUAAGGUAGCGAAAUUCCUUGUCGGGUAAGUUCCGACCUGCACGAAUGGCGUAACGAUGGCCACACUGUCUCCUCCUGAGACUCAGCGAAGUUGAAAUGUUUGUGAUGAUGCAAUCUCCCCGCGGAAAGACGGAAAGACCCCAUGAACCUUUACUGUAGCUUUGUAUUGGACUUUGAACAGAUCUGUGUAGGAUAGGUGGGAGGCUUUGAAGCAGGGUCGCUAGAUCUUGUGGAGCCAACGUUGAAAUACCACCCUGGUGUGUUUGAGGUUCUAACCUAGGUCCAUUAUCUGGAUCGGGGACAGUGCAUGGUAGGCAGUUUGACUGGGGCGGUCUCCUCCCAAAGCGUAACGGAGGAGUUCGAAGGUACGCUAGUUACGGUCGGACAUCGUGACGAUAGUGCAAUGGCAUAAGCGUGCUUAACUGCGAGACUGACAAGUCGAGCAGAUGCGAAAGCAGGACAUAGUGAUCCGGUGGUUCUGUAUGGAAGGGCCAUCGCUCAACGGAUAAAAGGUACUCUGGGGAUAACAGGCUGAUACCGCCCAAGAGUUCAUAUCGACGGCGGUGUUUGGCACCUCGAUGUCGGCUCAUCUCAUCCUGGGGCUGUAGCCGGUCCCAAGGGUAUGGCUGUUCGCCAUUUAAAGAGGUACGUGAGCUGGGUUUAAAACGUCGUGAGACAGUUUGGUCCCUAUCUUCCGUGGGCGCUGCAGAUUUGAGGAAGCCUGCUCCUAGUACGAGAGGACCGGAGUGGACACACCUCUGGUGUAUCGGUUGUCACGCCAGUGGCAUUGCCGAGUAGCUAAGUGUGGAAGAGAUAACCGCUGAAAGCAUCUAAGCGGGAAACUCGUUUCAAGAUGAGAUCUGCCGGGGCCUUGAGCCCCCUAAAGAGUCGUUCAAGACCAGGACGUUGAUAGGUCAGGUGUGGAAGUGAAAAAA
RNAcentral lists this ribosomal RNA (1254 nucleotides) under metagenome. RNAcentral's name for it is "bacterial LSU rRNA". It matches the Rfam family "Bacterial large subunit ribosomal RNA", at positions 1635 to 2881 of the family's 2925-position model. The record is from RNAcentral.